RNAcentral lists this ribosomal RNA (758 nucleotides) under uncultured Neisseria sp. RNAcentral describes it as "bacterial SSU rRNA". It matches the Rfam family "Bacterial small subunit ribosomal RNA", at positions 28 to 775 of the family's 1533-position model. The record is from RNAcentral. Lineage: Bacteria; Pseudomonadati; Pseudomonadota; Betaproteobacteria; Neisseriales; Neisseriaceae.
AUUGAACGCUGGCGGCAUGCUUUACACAUGCAAGUCGGACGGCAGCACAGAGAAGCUUGCUUCUUGGGUGGCGAGUGGCGAACGGGUGAGUAACAUAUCGGAACGUACCGGGCAGUGGGGGAUAACUAAUCGAAAGAUUAGCUAAUACCGCAUAUCUUCUGAGGAAGAAAGCAGGGGACCAUUUGGCCUUGCGCUGUUUGAGCGGCCGAUAUCUGAUUAGCUAGUUGGUGGGGUAAAGGCCUACCAAGGCGACGAUCAGUAGCGGGUCUGAGAGGAUGAUCCGCCACACUGGGGCUGAGACACGGCCCAGACUCCUACGGGAGGCAGCAGUGGGGAAUUUUGGACAAUGGGCGCAAGCCUGAUCCAGCCAUGCCGCGUGUCUGAAGAAGGCCUUCGGGUUGUAAAGGACUUUUGUCAGGGAAGAAAAGGGCGGGGUUAAUACCCCUGUCUGAUGACGGUACCUGAAGAAUAAGCACCGGCUAACUACGUGCCAGCAGCCGCGGUAAUACGUAGGGUGCGAGCGUUAAUCGGAAUUACUGGGCGUAAAGCGGGCGCAGACGGUUACUUAAGCAGGAUGUGAAAUCCCCGGGCUCAACCUGGGAACUGCGUUCUGAACUGGGUGACUAGAGUGUGUCAGAGGGAGGUAGAAUUCCACGUGUAGCAGUGAAAUGCGUAGAGAUGUGGAGGAAUACCGAUGGCGAAGGCAGCCUCCUAGGAUAACACUGACGUUCAUGCCCGAAAGCGUGGGUAGCAACAGG